This is a small nuclear RNA of Callithrix jacchus (white-tufted-ear marmoset), 109 nucleotides long. The record is from Ensembl. Lineage: Eukaryota; Metazoa; Chordata; Mammalia; Primates; Cebidae.
GCGCUCACUUUGACAGCACAUGUACUAAAAUUGGAAUGAUACUGAGAAUCAUUGCACAUGGCUCCUGUGCCAGGAUGACACACAAAUUAAAAAUGAAAUUAAAAUUUUA